GAUGAACGCUGGCGGCGUGCUUAACACAUGCAAGUCGAACGAAGCAAUUAGAGUGCUUGCACUUUGAUUGACUGAGUGGCGGACGGGUGAGUAACGCGUGGGUAACCUGCCUCACACAGGGGGACAACAGUUGGAAACGACUGCUAAUACCGCAUAAUGUUAUUUAGGGGCAUCCCUGAAUAACCAAAGCUUAAUGUGCUGAAAGAUGGUCUCGCGUCUGAUUAGCUAGAUGGCGGGGUAACGGCCCACCAUGGCGACGAUCAGUAGCCGGUCUGAGAGGAUGAACGGCCACAUUGGGACUGAGAUACGGCCCAGACUCCUACGGGAGGCAGCAGUGGGGAAUAUUGGGCAAUGGGGGAAACCCUGACCCAGCAACGCCGCGUGAAGGAAGAAGGCCUUC
RNAcentral lists this ribosomal RNA (400 nucleotides) under uncultured bacterium. RNAcentral describes it as "bacterial SSU rRNA". It matches the Rfam family "Bacterial small subunit ribosomal RNA", at positions 28 to 419 of the family's 1533-position model. The record is from RNAcentral.